CAGUCGAACGGAGUUACGAUGAAACCUAGUGAUUCGUAACUUAGUGGCGGACCGGUGAGUAACGCGUGGAUAACCUGCCUUACACUGGGGGAUAACACUUAGAAAUAGGUGCUAAUACCGCAUAAGCGCACGGAGCCGCAUGGCUUAGUGUGAAAAACUCCGGUGGUGUAAGAUGGAUCCGCGUCUGAUUAGCUGGUUGGCGGGGUAGAAGCCCACCAAGGCGACGAUCAGUAGCCGGCCUGAGAGGGUGAACGGCCACAUUGGGACUGAGACACGGCCCAAACUCCUACGGGAGGCAGCAGUGGGGAAUAUUGCACAAUGGGGGAAACCCUGAUGCAGCGACGCCGCGUGAGUGAAGAAGUCAUUCGUGAUGUAAAGCUCUAUCAGCAGGGAAGAAAAUGACGGUACCUGAGUAAGAAGCCCCGGCUAACUACGUGCCAGCAGCCGCGGUAAUACGUAGGGGGCAAGCGUUAUCCGGAUUUACUGGGUGUAAAGGGAGCGUAGACGGCCAGACAAGUCUGGAGUGAAAAUCCAGCGCUUAACGUUGGAAGUGCUUUGGAAACUGCCGGGCUAGAGUGCAGGAGGGGCAGGCGGAAUUCCUAGUGUAGCGGUGAAAUGCGUAGAUAUUAGGAGGAACACCAGUGGCGAAGGCGGCCUGCUGGACUGCAACUGACGUUGAGGCUCGAAGGCGUGGGGAGCAAACAGGAUUAGAUACCCUGGUAGUCCACGCGGUAAACGAUGAUUACUAGGUGUCGGGGGGCUAGAGCCCUUCGGUGCCGUCGCAAACGCAAUAAGUAAUCCACCUGGGGAGUACGUUCGCAAGA
Molecule: ribosomal RNA, 824 nt
Filed under: uncultured bacterium
Lineage: Bacteria
Description: bacterial SSU rRNA
Rfam family: Bacterial small subunit ribosomal RNA
Source: RNAcentral